RNAcentral lists this ribosomal RNA (1057 nucleotides) under uncultured Bacteroidales bacterium. Its description in RNAcentral is "bacterial SSU rRNA". It matches the Rfam family "Bacterial small subunit ribosomal RNA", at positions 32 to 1087 of the family's 1533-position model. Lineage: Bacteria; Pseudomonadati; Bacteroidota; Bacteroidia; Bacteroidales. The record is from RNAcentral.
AACGCUAGCUACAGGCUUAACACAUGCAAGUCGAGGGGUUUCGAGGGAGCUUGCUCCCAAGAGACGACCGGCGCACGGGUGAGUAACGCGUAUCCAACCUGCCCUUCAUAUUGGGAUAGCCUCUCGAAAGGGAGAUUAAUACCGAAUAACAUAGUUUAGUUGCCUGACCAGACUAUGAAAGCUCCGGCGAUGAAGGAUGGGGAUGCGUUCCAUUAGGUAGUAGGCGGGGUAACGGCCCACCUAGCCUACGAUGGAUAGGGGUUCUGAGAGGAAGGUCCCCCACACUGGAACUGAGACACGGUCCAGACUCCUACGGGAGGCAGCAGUGAGGAAUAUUGGUCAAUGGGCGCAAGCCUGAACCAGCCAAGUAGCGUGAAGGAUGACUGCCCUAUGGGUUGUAAACUUCUUUUAUACGCGAACAACCGCAGGUACGUGUACCUGUCUGCGUGUAGCGUAUGAAUAAGCAUCGGCUAACUCCGUGCCAGCAGCCGCGGUAAUACGGAGGAUGCGAGCGUUAUCCGGAUUUAUUGGGUUUAAAGGGAGCGUAGGUGGUCUGUUAAGCCAGCUGUGAAAUACUGUAGCUCAACUACAGCCGUGCAGUUGGAACUGGCGGACUUGAGUGCACAAGAGGAAGGUGGAAUUCAUGGUGUAGCGGUGAAAUGUUUAGAUAUCAUGAAGAACUCCGAUUGCGAAGGCAGCCUUCUGGGGUGCAACUGACACUGAUGCUCGAAAGUGUGGGUAUCGAACAGGAUUAGAUACCCUGGUAGUCCGCACCGUAAACGAUGGAUACUCGCUGCCGGCGAUACACGGUCGGUGGCCACGCGAAAGCAUUAAGUAUCCCACCUGGGGAGUACGCCGGCAACGGUGAAACUCAAAGGAAUUGACGGGGGCCCGCACAAGCGGAGGAACAUGUGGUUUAAUUCGAUGAUACGCGAGGAACCUUACCCGGGCUUGAACUAUGGUGGACCGUUCCAGAGAUGGAUCUUCCCUUCGGGGCCGCCAUGGAGGUGCUGCAUGGUUGUCGUCAGCUCGUGCCGUGAGGUGUCGGCUUAAGUGC